RNAcentral lists this ribosomal RNA (486 nucleotides) under uncultured bacterium. RNAcentral describes it as "bacterial SSU rRNA". It matches the Rfam family "Bacterial small subunit ribosomal RNA", at positions 28 to 524 of the family's 1533-position model. The record is from RNAcentral.
GAUGAACGCUGGCGGCGCGCCUAACACAUGCAAGUCGAACGGUUAAAGCACCUUCGGGUGUGUAUAAAGUGGCGAACGGCUGAGUAACACGUGGGCAACCUGCCCCUCGCACCGGGAUAGCCUCGGGAAACCGUGGUUAAUACCGGAUACUCCGGGACCCCCGCAUGGGGGUGCCGGGAAAGCCCUGACGGCGAGGGAUGGGCCCGCGGCCUGUUAGCUUGUUGGCGGGGUAACGGCCCACCAAGGCGAUUAUGGGUAGCCGGGUUGAGAGACCGACCGGCCAGAUUGGGACUGAGACACGGCCCAGACUCCUACGGGAGGCAGCAGUGGGGAAUCUUGCACAAUGGGCGAAAGCCUGAUGCAGCGACGCCGCGUGCGGGACGAAGGCCUUCGGGUUGUAAACCGCUUUCAGCAGGGACGAGGCCGCAAGGUGACGGUACCUGCAGAAGAAGCCCCGGCUAACUACGUGCCAGCAGCCGCGGUAAU